This 2256-nucleotide ribosomal RNA is filed under the name Triticum aestivum (bread wheat). RNAcentral's name for it is "partial small subunit ribosomal RNA". Lineage: Eukaryota; Viridiplantae; Streptophyta; Magnoliopsida; Poales; Poaceae. The record is from RNAcentral.
AUGGCGGCCACCUCCUCCUCUUUCUUCGCCCCGCCCCCCGCGGCUCUGCUUCGCCACGGCGCUUCUCCCCGUCCUACCGCCGCGGCCUCCCCCUCCUCCUCCUGGCGCUGCCACGGCCGACUCCAGCGCCCGUCUGUUCGAGUCCCCCGCCGCCGUCCAGCGACCCCAGCGGCCGCCCGACCCUUGAGGUUUUGCGGCAAUGGUGUCUAUGGGUGGCCGGCGGUGCCCAGGGGUUGGACUAAAAGGGGGCCGACAAAGGGUUUAUGCGCCGCUGGGGCACAUGACGAUGCUGUGAAUCAAGUUGGCGAGGGUGUCGACCACGACGACAACGGAGUCCGUGUUUCCAAUGAGGCCCUCCGCGCCACCAUCCGUAAGAGCAGAGAGGUGCUGGCGAUGCACAGAGAUCUACUUGAUCAGAUACCAGAAAAGAAGAAGCUCAUCUCUAUUAUUGAGGCCAGCUCCAUUCAUAAUGGGCAAGAGCCAUUCAGUGGUAGUCCCUUUUCACGCUCGGAUGCAGUUUCAGAGGGCGAAGAGAUUGGCUAUGAUCUUCAGAUGUACCUUGACAGGCGUUCACAGAAAUCCGAAAUUCGUUCAACUCAUGGAGAAUCUAUUAGUGGCCAGCAUGAAUACUAUGGAAGUUUAGAAGGCAAACUUUCCAACGCUGAUGUUAAUGGAUCAUAUAGCAAGGAUUAUGAAAAGGGACACUCAGUUACUGAGGAAAUAAAUGACAAUUCAUCUUCUUCGGCCGCUGUAGAUGUUAUGAAUAUCAUAUUGGUAGCUGCAGAAUGUGCUCCUUGGUCGAAAACAGGUGGACUUGGGGAUGUUGCCGGAGCUUUGCCGAAGGCUUUGUCAAAGAGAGGUCAUCGUGUCAUGGCGAUAGUACCAAUGUAUGGGAACUAUGAAGAACCUCACCAAAUAGGAGAACCAAAGAGGUACCAGGUCGCAGGGCAGGAUAUGGAGGUAAAAUAUCAUCAUGCAUACAUAGAUGGCGUGGAUUUUGUGUUUAUCGACAAUCCUAUCUUCCACAAUGUUGAGAGUGAAAUUUAUGGUGGAGACCGAACAGCCAAUUUUUUUCUGCAGGAUAUCUUGAAACGAAUGAUCUUAUUGUGCAAAGCAGCUGUAGAGGCUCCAUGGUGUGUUCCAUGUGGUGGUUUUUGCUACGGUGAUGGAAAUCUUGUAUUCAUUGCAAAUGACUGGCACACUGCAUUACUGCCUGUUUAUUUGAAGGCUUAUUAUCGUGACAAUGGUUUCAUGAUAUAUGCCCGCUCUGUCCUUGUGAUACACAAUAUAGCACAUCAGGGCCGUGGCCCCUUGGAUGAUUUCAGUUACCUGGAUUUGCCCAGUAACUACAUGGACCUUUUCAAACAUCACGACCCAUUUGGAGGUGAUCAUCUAAACAUAUUUGCUGCUGGAAUUAAAGCUGCGGACCGUUUACUUACUGUUAGCCAUGGUUAUGCAUGGGAGCUCAAAACGCCUGAAGGUGGUUGGGGCCUUCAUGGGAUCAUUAAUGAAAGUGAUUGGAAAUUCCAAGGCAUUGUAAAUGGUAUCGAUACCACUGAUUGGAAUCCUAGGCGUGAUGUCCACCUGAAAUUGGAUGGAUACAGCAACUAUUCUCUGGAAACUGUUGAAACAGGUAAAGCACAGUGUAAAGCGGCAUUGCAGAAAGAACUUGGUCUCCCGGUUCGUGGGGAUGUUCCUGUGAUUGCUUUCAUCGGACGGCUAGACAAUCAAAAAGGUGUAGACCUGAUAGCAGAAGCAAUGCCAUGGAUAGCUGGUCAAGAUGUACAGGUAAUACUGCUGGGUACCGGGAGGCAAGACCUCGAAGACACAUUGAGGAGGCUUGAAAGCCAGCACUACGACAGAGUUAGGGGGUGGGUUGGUUUCUCUGUCAGGUUGGCUCAUCGUAUGACCGCAGGAGCUGAUAUACUGUUGAUGCCGUCAAGGUUCGAGCCUUGCGGGUUGAACCAGCUCUAUGCAAUGAUGUAUGGGACCGUGCCCGUGGUGCAUGCGGUGGGUGGCCUUCGAGACACUGUCCAGCACUACAAUCCAUAUGAGGAGGUUGGGCUUGGUUGGACUUUUGAAAAUGCGGAAGCAAACAGGAUGAUCGAUGCGCUGGGGCACUGCCUGAACACGUACAGGAACUACAAGUCUAGCUGGGAGGGACUCCGGAGGAGAGGGAUGAUGCAGGACCUGAGCUGGGACACUGCUGCUAAACGCUAUGAGGAGGUUCUUGUUGCUGCCAAGUAUCAGUGGUGA